This is a long non-coding RNA of Cervus elaphus (red deer), 370 nucleotides long. RefSeq lists it as uncharacterized. NCBI's taxonomy places the organism in Eukaryota, Metazoa, Chordata, Mammalia, Artiodactyla, Cervidae. The record is from RefSeq and is a predicted model, not a curated record. The transcript has 2 exons.
CCUGCGUUCGCAGCCGCCCAGCGGCCAGCCGGCGCUGGGGACCCCCGCCCGCUCACCGCCGGAGCUCCCGGGAUCGGGGCGGCCAGGGCGGGUCCCCACCUCCCCCGAGCGCUAGGCGCCCCCUCCCUGGGCCGGCGCCGUGGAGCCCGCGCAGUCUCCUCGGCAGGUGGAGUCCUGCUGAUGGCCUGCCAGCCUUGCCGAGGAGCUGGGCGUAUCUGGUGUUGCCGAUCACACAAGGUCAGACCUUGGGGGCUGGGGAGGGCCUGGGUCCCUGCCUCUACCCCAUCAGCCCUGGGAGGACAGUGUAGGACUCCCCUGGCACAUGCAUGCGUUUGGCAUGUAGCAGACAUGACCCGGAUGGAGACUGUGA